UACACUCCUACGGGAGGCAGCAGUGGGGAAUAUUGCACAAUGGGCGCAAGCCUGAUGCAGCCAUGCCGCGUGUAUCAAGAAGGCCUUCGGGUUGUAAAGUACUUUCAGCGGGGAGGAAGGCAAUACGGUUAAUAACCGUGUUGAUUGACGUUACCCGCAGAAGAAGCACCGGCUAACUCCGUGCCAGCAGCCGCGGUAAUACGGAGGGUGCAAGCGUUAAUCGGAAUUACUGGGCGUAAAGCGCACGCAGGCGGUCUGUCAAGUCGGAUGUGAAAUCCCCGGGCUCAACCUGGGAACUGCAUUCGAAACUGGCAGGCUUGAGUCUUGUAGAGGGGGGUAGAAUUCCAGGUGUAGCGGUGAAAUGCGUAGAGAUCUGGAGGAAUACCGGUGGCGAAGGCGGCCCCCUGGACAAAGACUGACGCUCAGGUGCGAAAGCGUGGGGAGCAAACAGGAUUAGAAACCCCUGUAGUCCCAU
RNAcentral lists this ribosomal RNA (475 nucleotides) under uncultured organism. Its description in RNAcentral is "partial 16S ribosomal RNA". It matches the Rfam family "Bacterial small subunit ribosomal RNA", at positions 332 to 798 of the family's 1533-position model. The record is from RNAcentral.